Molecule: ribosomal RNA, 253 nt
Filed under: uncultured bacterium
Lineage: Bacteria
Description: partial 16S ribosomal RNA
Rfam family: Bacterial small subunit ribosomal RNA
Source: RNAcentral
UACGAACUGCGCGAACGUUAUUCGGAAUCACUGGGCUUACAGGGUGCGUAGGCGGCUGUUCAGGUCCGAUGUGAAAUCCCCCAGCUCAACUGGGGAAUGGCAUUGGAAACCGAACGGCUGGAGUGAGCUAGAGGUGCACGGAACUUCCGGUGGAGCGGUGAAAUGUGUUGAGAUCGGAAGGAACACCAGAGGCGAAGGCGGUGCACUGGGGCUUGUCUGACGCUGAGGCACGAAAGCCAGGGGAGCGAACGGG